CUCAGUGAGGGGGCGGGGCCAGAGACAGCCGAGCUCCUUCAGAAGAACGUUAAGGUGUUUGGAGACUUUGGGUGCUCCUCUGGAGUUGCACCGCGGUCCCUCCGCUGGAGGGCGCAGCGGGUCCUUAAGAGGGAAUGGUGGGGGCGAGCACUGUGAGUUCCGACUAAAGCCCCCUGCCUGCCUGUGUGUGGAGAGAUCCAUCACCUCUUGCCAACCAAAGUGCCCACAAUUAUGCCCCUUCUGCUUGGAGUUAUGGCCAACUUGAAGCACAGAAUUGCUCCCGAGAUGCAACCUUGCUCACAAUGAAGACUUGCAAGAGAUGAAAUUGUCCUUCCAGUACCAUAACCACAAGUGACCCACAUGAACCAUCAUUCCCAACAGCAAUAAACUGGGGCAAUAAAGUUGGAAAGAAGGGCUGACUCCACAGCUAUGGGGUAAGAGUUCCCUGGCAGGAGAAGAAAGACUGAAAGAUACAGUGCUUUCUUGGAGACAAAAGAAGCAAAGAGAGUCUGAGGAAAGGAGAUUGUAAAAACAAAAUAAAACCCUCUGAGCCUUGACUAAUUGCCCCUAAAUGCCUCACUCCAAAACGUUUUUUUUUUUUUUCUUGUAUUGCUCUUUGUACUUUAAACACCCUUUCUGUACACGUGAGGUGCAGGCGAGAGGGAGAUAGCAGCGGCAGAGCCUAAUGGAGCUGGGAAUCACAAAGACCGUGCGUGGAGAUCUUGGACUGAAUCCCACUAUUUGUCGGAUGAGUCCUGGAAACACCCACUGAAUUGGCUGUGUCAUCCUUCCCUGCAAAUGACAUUUUAACAAGAUUCUUCUACAGCCUGAAGUGGUGACUUUGUGAUCUCUCAGCCUUAGUCACGUCCUCUCUCCCACCCAAGCCCCAGAGACUCUUCCUCUUUUCCUUGGCAGUUUCAGAGUCCCAGAAUAUUAUUUAUCAGUCAGCAGCAGAGGGCGAUCUGGUCCCGGGAGGAUGACCUGGUCAACUCCUGCCGUGUGCCUGGAUUGCUAAUGACUUGCAGCUCCAUCAACAUAAAGCUGAACUCUUCACAAAGGAACAUUGUCACUAAGCAUUUUCCUUUUCAUUCUUGAAAGCUCCACUGCUUUAGCUAACCCCUUCCCCCUCCCUUCUUCAUUCCUGCUCUCUUUCCUCUUCUAACCUCUUGGAAGCAGCAGGAAAUGAGCAAGGUCCACAGUGGAGAAAAACAAAUCCUAGAGCCCUGCUGAGGGAAAGCACAGGAAAAUGACCAAGAGGCAUUAGCAGCUGCAGGAGUUGUAGGUAGCCGUGUGUAUUUGGGUGUGUGUAUGUGUGUGUCUGAGAGAGAGAGAAAUAGAAGAGAGAGGGAGAGAGGGAGAGAGGGAGAGAGAGAGAGAGAGAGAGAGAGAGAGAGAGAGAGAAUAUGUGUAUGUCUUCUACACAGCAGUACCUUUCAAACUUUUAAACUUUAGCACACAUAAAAAUCACCUGGAGAGCUUGUUAAAACACAGCUUCCUGGGCCUCACCCAGGAAUUCUGAUUUACAAGUCUGGAGUGGAGCCCAAGAAUUUGCAUUCUUAACACUCCCAAGGUAUUUUAAUGAUGCCAGUGGAGGACCACGUUUUGAGUAGCACUGCUGUACACAAAUGCAGUGAAUGGACUGUAUAGAUCUGGGUCAGGGGUUUACUUGGAUAAAAUCCUGAUAAUAUGACCUCCCCCAGAACAGUCAGUCCAGAUCCUUCUAAUUCCAGACCAGAAGAUUUCAUAGAUCAGCCUACUGCUGUUCCCUCCCCUUGGAAAAGCAGCAGAGAAAGUAUCAACAGGGCAUUGUUUGGAGGGGGCUCAGUUCAGAUAAUAGGCUGGUUCUCCAUUGACUGUUUCUUUCAUCCCAACUGGCAGGAGAAGCACAGAAGGCCCCUCCUUUGCCCCUGGGCAGGGAUGGGUUCUCUAUCUACAUAAAAAUCAACAAUUCUUCCUAACCCUGUGUUCAACAACUCCUGCCCAGAGGCCUCUGUCCUCUCCUCCUCUCCAGACCCUAGAACCUCCAGAGUCAUAAAGGCUGGCAGAAUGAGCUGGUAAUCCUUGAGAUACCCAAAGCCACGUAGGCUGAUUUAAAGAGACUCACUCUCUUCUGUUUAUACUCCCAAAGAUGACAAGACAGAGAAAAGCAUUGCUGUGAUCUAAAUGUUGAUGCAUGCCCCCUCCAAAAUUAAUCUGUUGGAAUUUAAUCACAAAAGUAAUGGUAUUAAGAGGUGGGAUCUUUAGAAGGUUAUUAGGUCAUAAAGGCAAAGCCCUCAGGGGUGGGAUUAGUGCCCAUAUAAAAGAGGCUUGAGGAGGCCUGCCCGGUGGCUCACGCCUG
This is a non-coding RNA of Microcebus murinus (gray mouse lemur), 2338 nucleotides long. The record is from RefSeq and is a predicted model, not a curated record. Lineage: Eukaryota; Metazoa; Chordata; Mammalia; Primates; Cheirogaleidae.